AGAGUUUGAUCCUGGCUCAGGAUGAACGCUAAGGCCUAACACAUGCAAGUCGAGGGGUAACACAUGCAGUCGAGCGGUAGGGGCCUCGGCCCCCGAGAGCGGCGCACGGGUGCGUAACGCGUAUGCAACCUGCCCUACACAGGGGAAUAGCCCGUCGAAAGGCGGAUUAAUGCCCCAUGGUUCCCGUCUGGGGCAUCCCGGGCGGGGUAAAGAGCUAUCGGUGUAGGAUGGGCAUGCGUGCCAUUAGCUGGACGGUGGGGUAACGGCCCACCGUGGCGACGAUGGCUAGGGGUUCUGAGAGGAAGGCCCCCCACACUGGGACUGAGACACGGCCCAGACUCCUACGGGAGGCAGCAGUGAGGAAUAUUGGUCAAUGGGCGGAAGCCUGAACCAGCCAUGCCGCGUGCGGGACGAAGGCGCUACGCGUCGUAAACCGCUUUUGUCCGGGGGUAACCGUGGGGACGCGUCCCCACCUGCAAGUACCGGACGAAUAAGGGUCGGCUAACUCCGUGCCAGCAGCCGCGGUAAUACGGAGGACCCGAGCGUUAUCCGGAUUCAUUGGGUUUAAAGGGUGCGCAGGCGGCCCGGUAAGUCAGCGGUGAAAGGCCCACGCUCCACGUGGGAGCUGCCGUUGAUACUGCCGGGCUGGAAUGUCAGCGAGGCGGGCGGAAUGCGCGGUGUAGCGGUGAAAUGCAUAGAUAUCGCGCAGAACGCCGAUUGGGGAGCCAGCUCGCCAGCUGACCAUUGACGCUGAGGCACGAAAGCGUGGGGGAUCGAACAGGAUUAGAUACCCUGUAGUCCACGCCGUAAACGAUGAUGGCUCGCUCUUGGCCCGCAGGGGUCAUGGGCUUAGCGAAAGCGUUAAGCCAUCCACCUGGGGAGUACGCCGGCAACGGUGAAACUCAAAGGAAUUGACGGGGGCCCGCACAAGCGGAGGAACAUGUGGUUUAAUUCGAUGAUACGCGAGGA
RNAcentral lists this ribosomal RNA (969 nucleotides) under uncultured Bacteroidota bacterium. RNAcentral's name for it is "bacterial SSU rRNA". It matches the Rfam family "Bacterial small subunit ribosomal RNA", at positions 8 to 967 of the family's 1533-position model. Lineage: Bacteria; Pseudomonadati; Bacteroidota. The record is from RNAcentral.